GAGGGUAUAGCUCAGUGGUAGAGUGUGUGCUUAGCAUGCACGAGGCCCUGGGUUCAAUCCCCUGAACCUCCA
This 72-nucleotide transfer RNA is filed under the name Camelus bactrianus (Bactrian camel). It matches the Rfam family "tRNA". From Rfam's summary of the family: Transfer RNA (tRNA) molecules are approximately 80 nucleotides in length. Their secondary structure includes four short double-helical elements and three loops (D, anti-codon, and T loops). Further hydrogen bonds mediate the characteristic L-shaped molecular structure. tRNAs have two regions of fundamental functional importance: the anti-codon, which is responsible for specific mRNA codon recognition, and the 3' end, to which the tRNAs corresponding amino acid is attached (by aminoacyl-tRNA synthetases). tRNAs cope with the degeneracy of the genetic code in two manners: having more than one tRNA (with a specific anti-codon) for a particular amino acid; and 'wobble' base-pairing, i.e. permitting non-standard base-pairing at the 3rd anti-codon position. Lineage: Eukaryota; Metazoa; Chordata; Mammalia; Artiodactyla; Camelidae. RNAcentral also lists the same sequence under 3 other names. The record is from Rfam by way of RNAcentral.